GAGAUAAUAGUAUAAAAUAGUACAAUUUAUUUUCAAUAAAUAAGUAAUUAUCUU
This 54-nucleotide transfer RNA is filed under the name Cooperia oncophora. RNAcentral's name for it is "tRNA-Glu". The record is from RNAcentral. Lineage: Eukaryota; Metazoa; Nematoda; Chromadorea; Rhabditida; Trichostrongylidae.